This 253-nucleotide ribosomal RNA is filed under the name uncultured bacterium. RNAcentral's name for it is "partial 16S ribosomal RNA". It matches the Rfam family "Bacterial small subunit ribosomal RNA", at positions 524 to 776 of the family's 1533-position model. The record is from RNAcentral.
UACGUAGGAUGCGAGCGUUGUCCGGAAUUAUUGGGCGUAAAGAGAACGUAGGCGGUUUGCCAAGUUUGAUCUUAAAGACCGGGGCUUAACUCCGGGAGUGGAUCGAAAACUGGCAGACUAGAGGACGUCAGAGGAAAGUGGAAUUCCCAGUGUAGCGGUGAAAUGCGUAGAUAUUGGGAGGAACACCAGUGGCGAAAGCGACUUUCUGGGACGUUCCUGACGCUGAGGUUCGAAAGCGUGGGGAGCAAACAGG